UGCACACAAUUAAAUAUUACUUUACUUGAAGUAGAAAUAAUGUGUUGGUUUCGGCUUGUAGUAUAUUCCGCAAUGAAGCCUCUGCUCAUUCUUUCGGGCAAUGCAAGGCGUAGUGUUAUGUCGUAGUGUUCGAUAAAAAGAAAAAAAUAAAUAAUGCCAAAAUAAAAGUAUUUAAAUCAGUUUUGAAUUAAAAAGUACCAAGAGGAAACGCAACAUAACAGAAACAUUUGUACAAGUGGAAACUAAACGUUAAUUAUUAUACAAUGUCACACUAGUGGCCAGUCUGAAUAAAAAAUGGAUAUAAUUUUUUAUUUCUAUGAAUAUUACACAGUACGGGUAUAUAAUAUCAAUAGAGCAAAUAUUGCAAAAAACUUUUAUUAAUGACGUGUUGACCUGACAUCGAUUAUAGCUGGAUUCGUAAACCCCGCAGUAAAAGUUAUAUUUUUGAAGGUAGACAAAAAGAUUGGAGUAAAUCAAAAGUAAAGGGUACAUCAACCGAUCUUAAUGAACGUAUUAAGUAAGCAUCGGUGCAGACUACACUGUUUCUAUCUUAAUUAAAGAUACAGCUUCUGCGAACCGCUGGUGUUAUGGAACCUAACACAAUGUACAGGCAUAAGGCAUGGGUGCCGUCCCUAGACCUGUUAGGAGACAAAAUUUGUUGAAAGAAAAUGUUUGACCAUUUUCAUAUAACGCGGUGAUAUACGCGGUCCCAGGGCCAUCAGCUCAAGGAUGUGAUGCUUAGUAUAGCCGGAAGUACAAGGAUGGGGUGGUUGCUGUUGGUUUAACAACUCUGCAAGCAGUCUACGACCUGUCACAUCAACGUCUUAGCCACGUGCUUCUCUCCUGAAGAUAUUACAGAAGUUAGGCCGUGAAGCUAUUUAAUGAGACGUCCGUAAGUUCGUACUGCAACUGAUUAUGUCAGUUCUGCUUCGAAUGUAGACAUUCCGUAGAUUUGAUUUUAUAAACAGUUGUUGAUCUCUGUUUAGUGAAUCAGAUUUAAAUAGCAUUACAUAGAUUACUGUACUGAUAUGCAUUUAGUUCAACUAGGUUUAUCUCAAUGGAUAUUCUGUAUUAUGUGAGCAGAUAGUUAGUCGUAGAUAGGUACGAAAGUACGUAGUUUUUUUUCAACGGUUGUUAAUUUCCUGUUAAUUCAUUGAGAAUUGGGUUAGUGCCCUUAGGGGCGGAUUGAGAGAGAUAUGCUUUUUCUUGCAACUACCCCACGUUGGGAAAAGAUUUUUGUUACGCAAAGUUCUAUGAUUAUUUGAAGUGCAACAAUUCGUUUUUCUAAAGAUUGAUUAAGGAAAUUGGAUAUUUUAAUUAUAGUACAAGAGCUUACAAUGUAAUUUGAGGAUUACUCAAGGGUCAAUGUUUGCACAUGUUGAAGGUUAGUAUGUAAGUAGCAUGCUUCAUCUACAUAACUGUACGACGGUUCAGUGAGAUAUCUUUAGACGAUGCUGUACGUAGAAACUACGUGGUCACACCACGUAGAAGCUUUCGAAAUAUUUCUUGAACAUUUCUUUGUUUUUAUCUGAAUGUAUUAUAGUUAAUUCUUUUUUGACUCCCGUUUAGUGAUUGGCCAGGAGCACGCGUGCAACUCGGCCAGUUUCAGAGCCAGUGCUUGCAUGAUAAAUUAUGUUGUUUUGUUUGGUUUUCAUGUUGAAGUGCUGAAGCUUUGUUCAACACGUUCACCAUGUAAAUUUUCAUAUCAGAGUCUUCCACCUUGGAAUCAUAUCGACAUAACGUAGUGGCACCAAUGAUCGACAAGCUCCAAUGAUCGACAAUUUUUUUCUCUAAUUAGAGAAAAUAAGAGUUAUAAUACGAUUUUUUAAUAUAGCUAUACUGUGGCUCAGACAAUACGCUUCCUGCUCUCAUCCAGUGACAUUUGAAAGAAAUCCGCCUUUUUUUUUACAAAUGGCCGUGUGAGAACUUAGUUCGGCUAGUGUUCCUCAUAAAAUAACGGCAUUUCUAAGCGGAUUCUGUAAGAACAUGGCUCCGAGAAAAAACUACACUCUCGACCAGAUUGAAAAAGCAGUUGAAGCUGUUAAGAAUGGAGAAAAGAUAGCAAGUGCUGCGCAACGUUUCGGAGUACCAAGAAUUACUCUUCAUGACAAAAUAACACGAAGAACUUCCAUUGGUUGUAGUAUGGGGCCAAGUACUAAAUAAAAUUAAUUAAUUUUAAUAAAUAUGUAACUAUUGUUGAUUUCCCUAAUUUGUACUUAUUUAAUCUUAUCAGAGUGUAUAGUUUUAUCAAAAUAAAACAGUAUUCAAGAUUAAAGCUUAUUUUGGUGAAGAUUUUUAAAGUUUGUAGUCAGUGUUAUUAGACUUGACAAAUUUUAUAAAAACAAUGUAUGAGUACCUAAACAUAAAAGACAAAUAAAUUAAUACUUACUGAA
Spodoptera frugiperda (fall armyworm) is the source of this 2393-nucleotide long non-coding RNA. RefSeq lists it as uncharacterized. The transcript is spliced from 3 exons. NCBI's taxonomy places the organism in Eukaryota, Metazoa, Arthropoda, Insecta, Lepidoptera, Noctuidae. The record is from RefSeq and is a predicted model, not a curated record.